Molecule: ribosomal RNA, 369 nt
Filed under: uncultured organism
Description: bacterial SSU rRNA
Rfam family: Bacterial small subunit ribosomal RNA
Source: RNAcentral
CGGAGGGUGCAAGCGUUAUCCGGAUUUACUGGGUUUAAAGGGUGCGUAGGCGGAUAAGUAAGUCCGUGGUGAAAUCCUGCAGCUUAACUGCAGAACUGCCGUGGAUACUAUUUGUCUUGAAUAUCGUGGAGGUUAGCGGAAUAUGUCAUGUAGCGGUGAAAUGCUUAGAUAUGACAUAGAACACCCAUUGCGAAGGCAGCUAACUACGCGAUUAUUGACGCUGAUGCACGAAAGCGUGGGGAUCAAACAGGAUUAGAUACCCUGGUAGUCCACGCCCUAAACGAUGAUUACUCGACAUUGGCGAUACACUGUCAGUGUCUGAGCGAAAAGCAUUAAGUAAUCCACCUGGGAAGUACGAUCGCAAGAUUG